GCAGAUGUGGCCAAACUGGAUAAGGCAUCUGGCUACGAACCAGAAGAUUCCAGGUUCGAGUCCUGGCAUCUGCA
Molecule: transfer RNA, 74 nt
Filed under: Fibrobacter sp.
Lineage: Bacteria; Pseudomonadati; Fibrobacterota; Fibrobacteria; Fibrobacterales; Fibrobacteraceae
Also listed under: 2 other names
Description: tRNA-Arg
Rfam family: tRNA
About the family: Transfer RNA (tRNA) molecules are approximately 80 nucleotides in length. Their secondary structure includes four short double-helical elements and three loops (D, anti-codon, and T loops). Further hydrogen bonds mediate the characteristic L-shaped molecular structure. tRNAs have two regions of fundamental functional importance: the anti-codon, which is responsible for specific mRNA codon recognition, and the 3' end, to which the tRNAs corresponding amino acid is attached (by aminoacyl-tRNA synthetases). tRNAs cope with the degeneracy of the genetic code in two manners: having more than one tRNA (with a specific anti-codon) for a particular amino acid; and 'wobble' base-pairing, i.e. permitting non-standard base-pairing at the 3rd anti-codon position.
Source: RNAcentral